This 846-nucleotide ribosomal RNA is filed under the name Triticum aestivum (bread wheat). RNAcentral describes it as "partial small subunit ribosomal RNA". Lineage: Eukaryota; Viridiplantae; Streptophyta; Magnoliopsida; Poales; Poaceae. The record is from RNAcentral.
AUGGUUUCUCACCACCGUUCCAGUCCAUUGCGCCGUCGAUCAAGUCUUCUCCAUCCUUCCUUUCGGCGUGCACCGGGAGAAGUGACAGCAGACCUCCGGAACCCCGCCUCUCGUGAUCCUGUACGGGAGAGGGGCGAUCAGGUUUUUGGGGAGCGCACUCGCGCGACUGCUAGCAAUGACGACUUCUUCCCCGAUCUCGGCAACGUCAUCCUCGACGACAUGGGCGACAACGUCAAUGCCGGCGGUGCUGCUCCCGCUGCACCGUACGUGAUUCUAUCUUUCCUGUUCGAGAUCGUGGUAGAAUUCAUGUUUCUAGUAUGUGCCCUAGAUGUGAUCUGUUCAUCUGCUAUGCUAGUUCGCAUGAUUAGUUCAAUCUCUGCUACUGUAGUCAUGAUUUAUUUUCUGUUUAUUCGGAUUAAAUCUCGUAGUAAUUUGCUCAUAUUUUCAACAAUCCAAAAACCUGAUUUUAGGAAAUUUACUCCGAAUGGUUUUGCUGCGCAUCUGAAGCCGCCUGCCUUUAAGGGGGCGCAAUAUAAGAGGUGGCGCACGAGAGCAGUCUACUGGUUUCAGACCAUGGGCUACUAUGACGCCACUAAGGGCAAGCCUGAGGGCGAUCUUAAUCCAGCACAGCUGGAAGCUUUUGAGAAAAUCGAUACUCUCUGUAAAGGCGCUCUUCUGGGUGUUCUUGAUGAUUCUAUUGUGGAUUCAUAUAUGUCGUUUGACAACGGCAAGGAUAUGUGGGCUGCGCUCGAGGCCAAGUUUGGUGCCUCGGAUGCCGGUAGCGAGUUGUACGUCAUGGAGCAAUUCUAUGACUACAAGAUGACUGAUGAGCGCUCUGUUGUAUAG